AAGAGAAGACAAUCAAAGUAGAUUAUUAAAUACUAGUAAUACCUUUUGCAGAUCUGAAUGUAGAGCAUCUACCCUUCUCUCCAUAUCAUAAUUCCGAUGAGCUGAGUUGCUCGAGAUAGCUUCAAGACUCAUCAAAUUCUCCUGAAAAUUAGCAUAGGCUGAAUAAUUAGACACACUUGACUGAUUCACAGAGUCACAAACAUGGUCUAAAUAAUUUGGUUGUACACGACCUCGCCAGACAGUUUGGUGUGUGUUAGAACACCUAUUGAUCUGUUCUACACAACUAUGAUUAAAUGUAGGAGUAACUAAAUCCGACCUAUGACAAACUGAUUCACAUUUGGAUCAGUAAACACAGCUACAUACUUCACAAAAUGUGUAUCUUGACCAGCAAACAUAAGAAAUCAGCGAAGGCAAUGCAACUGGCAGUAAGCCAUUUUUAUCCGUAGCAAAGCAUGGGUAUUUAGCUAGUCAAUAAAAAAUGUGGAUGUUCCACAAAAAAUGAAGGGUUAAAAUGCUCCCUAAUGUUCACCCAACAUUUAUGGCAUAAUAAAAACGAAAUAGCUACGCUAUGGUUAAAGAGGAAUAUGACGUACCAUACAAAAAUACAAAAGAAAAUAACAAAUAUUAAUUAU
This 632-nucleotide long non-coding RNA is filed under the name Oryza brachyantha (malo sina). RNAcentral describes it as "long non-coding RNA (OBRA_LNC003374)". The record is from RNAcentral. Lineage: Eukaryota; Viridiplantae; Streptophyta; Magnoliopsida; Poales; Poaceae.